Pongo abelii (Sumatran orangutan) is the source of this 148-nucleotide unclassified non-coding RNA. It matches the Rfam family "Metazoan signal recognition particle RNA". Rfam says of the family: The signal recognition particle (SRP) is a universally conserved ribonucleoprotein. The record is from Ensembl. NCBI's taxonomy places the organism in Eukaryota, Metazoa, Chordata, Mammalia, Primates, Hominidae.
GCCGGGUGUGGUGUCGCAUGCCUGUAGUCCCAGCUACUCGGGAGGCUGAGGUGGGAGGAUUGCUUGAGCCUGGGAGGCCAAGGCUACAGUGAGCAGAGAUUGUGCCACUGCACACCUGCCUGGGUGACAGAGCAAGAGCCUGUCUCAA